This 314-nucleotide unclassified non-coding RNA is filed under the name uncultured Tomentella. Its description in RNAcentral is "sequence contains ITS2". The record is from RNAcentral. Lineage: Eukaryota; Fungi; Basidiomycota; Agaricomycetes; Thelephorales; Thelephoraceae.
AACGCACCUUGCGCCCUUUGGCUAUUCCGAAGGGCAUGCCUGUUUGAGUAUCAUGAACACCUCAACUCUCAUGGUUUGCCAUGAUGAGCUUGGACUUUGGGGGUCUUGCUGGCCUACGGUCGGCUCCUCUCAAAUGAAUCAGCUUACCAGUGUAUGGUGGCGUCACAGGUGUGAUAACUAUCUACGCUUGCGGCUUUCCAUCAGGCAACCUUCAGUGAUGGAGGUUCGCUGGGGCUCAUAAAUGUCUCUCCUCGGUGAGGACAGCUUUUUGAACGUUUGAUCUCAAAUCAGGUAGGACUACCCGCUGAACUUAA